CCGCAAUGUGAGAAAUCGCGACGGGGGGAUCCCAAGUGCCAUUCUUAACGGGAUGGCUUUUCAUUAGUGUAAAGAGCUUUUGGAAUAAGAGCUGGGCAAGACCGGUGCCAGCCGCCGCGGUAACACCGGCAGCUCUAGUGGUAACAAUUUUUAUUGGGCCUAAAGCGUCCGUAGCCGGUUUAAUAAGUCUCUGGUGAAAUCCUGUAGCUUAACUGUGGGAAUUGCUGGAGAUACUAUUAGACUUGAGACCGGGAGAGGUUAGAGGUACUCCCAGGGUAGAGGUGAAAUUCUGUAAUCCUGGGAGGACCGCCUGUUGCGAAGGCGUCUAACUGGAACGGUUCUGACGGUGAGGGACGAAAGUUAGGGGCGCGAACCGGAUUAGAUACCCGGGUAGUCCUAACUGUAAACGAUGCGGACUUGGUGUUG
Molecule: ribosomal RNA, 426 nt
Filed under: uncultured archaeon
Lineage: Archaea
Description: bacterial SSU rRNA
Rfam family: Archaeal small subunit ribosomal RNA
Source: RNAcentral